UACGAAGGGGGCUAGCGUUGCUCGGAAUCACUGGGCGUAAAGCGCACGUAGGCGGAUCUUUAAGUCAGGGCUGAAAUCCUGGAGCUCAACUCCAGAACUGCCUUUGAUACUGGGGAUCUCGAGUCCGGGAGAGGUGAGUGGAACUGCGAGUGUAGAGGUGAAAUUCGUAGAUAUUCGCAAGAACACCAGUGGCGAAGGCGGCUCACUGGCCCGGUACUGACGCUGAGGUGCGAAAGCGUGGGGAGCAAACAGG
This 253-nucleotide ribosomal RNA is filed under the name uncultured bacterium. Its description in RNAcentral is "partial 16S ribosomal RNA". It matches the Rfam family "Bacterial small subunit ribosomal RNA", at positions 524 to 776 of the family's 1533-position model. The record is from RNAcentral.